GGGGGACCUUCGGGCCUCUUGCCAUCGGAUGUGCCCAGAUGGGAUUAGCUUGUUGGUGGGGUAACGGCUCACCUAGGCGACGAUCCCUAGCUGGUCUGAGAGGAUGACCAGCCACACUGGAACUGAGACACGGUCCAGACUCCUACGGGAGGCAGCAGUGGGGAAUAUUGCACAAUGGGCGCAAGCCUGAUGCAGCCAUGCCGCGUGUAUGAAGAAGGCCUUCGGGUUGUAAAGUACUUUCAGCGGGGAGGAAGGGAGUAAAGUUAAUACCUUUGCUCAUUGACGUUACCCGCAGAAGAAGCACCGGCUAACUCCGUGCCAGCAGCCGCGGUAAUACGGAGGGUGCAAGCGUUAAUCGGAAUUACUGGGCGUAAAGCGCACGCAGGCGGUUUGUUAAGUCAGAUGUGAAUCCCCGGGCUA
RNAcentral lists this ribosomal RNA (420 nucleotides) under Escherichia coli. RNAcentral describes it as "bacterial SSU rRNA". It matches the Rfam family "Bacterial small subunit ribosomal RNA", at positions 194 to 610 of the family's 1533-position model. Lineage: Bacteria; Pseudomonadati; Pseudomonadota; Gammaproteobacteria; Enterobacterales; Enterobacteriaceae. The record is from RNAcentral.